Equus caballus (horse) is the source of this 1788-nucleotide long non-coding RNA. The record is from Ensembl. Lineage: Eukaryota; Metazoa; Chordata; Mammalia; Perissodactyla; Equidae.
CAGGCUUAACGGUUCCAAGCCCUAGAGUGUUUCUUCCUCACUCUCUCAUUGCAUUUAUCCAUCAUUUCCUCAUUUCUCUUCUCUAGAAGCUACCCCAACUCUCCUUGACUCACCAUGUCAGCUUUGCCCAAGGAUCCAAGAGGGCAAAGGGGACUUUGUUCAUGGGAAGCAAGCAGAUGGCCAGCUUCCAGCCCCCCAGGAGGACUGGAGGGACGCCACCUGCUCACCCCCAAUGGGUCUAAUUAGAGCAGAUGCUUUGCCUGCUCCAGAUCCGACUGACCCAAAGAGGCAGCCCCCUCUCUCAGGAGCAACCCUCAGACCCCAGGACUCUCGGAAACACAGAUUGAAAAGCUUUGCUCUGGCUGGAGAGAAACCACUCUGAAGAUGGGAAGACUGAGGACCAGAGAGGGGAAGUGACAUCCCUGGAGUCACCCAGGAAAUCAGCAGGGACUCAGAGUUGGAGGCCAGACCUCCUCCCUCACAGUCCAAUACACGUUCCCGCCUCACCACCUUAUAUGUCAAAUUUUGCAUGAUUCCCUUGGAGACCCCUGAAUAAAACGUACCGUCAUAUCCAAAGGAGGGGCCCCAUCUCAAGCUCAUUUCGCAUUCCGCGUCCGUGGGAGCUCAUUAGAAUUCUGAUUAUAAUGCUGGAAUCAUUUUUAUUUCCAAGCUUCAGUCAUUUCGUAUCAGGUGGGCAUUAGUCAACAGAGACCUAAAAGAAGUUGUAAGCAAAUCAUCACAGAAAGGAAACUUCUCCCCUACAUACACACACACACACACACACACACACACACACGCACACACACACACAUGCACAAGCACACACAUCUUUCUUUCAUUAGCUUUAAUUAAGUUGACCCAGAUUGAUCUGGAAAAUUUUCCAGACCCAGAAUGAGUUUCUCCUUUAUGAUUGUGAAAAUCAUGAGGUUUUCAGAGAAUGGGACCCUAGAGACAAAUCAAAUGAGAGGUAGCUUCUGGGUAGACAAAGACCUUGAUAAAAUGAGAGACAACAGCCAAGGCCAGUACUGUCACAUCACAGAAGCAUGCCAUUUGGAUCCCCUUUCUGUGCCUCCUUAGCUGUGUUACCUUGGGUGACUUACUCGCCUUCUCUGAGCCUCUACUUCCAAUCUUGCAUACGUGCCCCUCUCACAGUUCCUUCUCUGCUAAGUAGCCAGGAGAUUUUUCCAAAACGUAAGUCAAUCCAGGCAACUGUCUGAUUAAAAGCCUUCAAUAUCUUCCCAUUUAACUUAGAAUAAAACCCACACUCCACAAUGUGUCCAACGAGGACGUCCACAAACUGACUUUUGCCUUAUAUAGGUUGUAGGUUAGGGUCGUGCUUGGCUAUGUGUAACAGAAACUUAAGCAUAUUUGUGUAACCAAACAGGGGGAUAUUAUUCUCACAUGACAAGAAGUCCAGGAGUGGUCCAGAGAAGCUCAAAAUGCCCUUGGAGACCCAGGCUCCUUCUAGCUUCCUGCUCAGCCAUCCUCAGAAAAUAGGAAGCCUCAUGGUCACAAAACGGCUGCCCUACCUCUCGGCUUUGUGUCCAAGUUCCAGGCAAGAAGAAGGGGAAAAAGCAAGGAAGAAAAAGCACAUGCUAGUUGGGUCUGUCCCUUUUUACUCAAGAAAGUGAUAACUUUUCUUUAGAUUGCCAUUUACAAGUCAUUGGCUAGAACGAGGUCGUAUCACCAAUGGUAGUUUCAAGGGAUUCUGGGAGCCAAGUCCUCUUCCAUCGGCACUUCUCCUCCUCAACAAAAUCAGGCUUUAUUGAUUAGGAAGAAAGGGGGUUA